RNAcentral lists this ribosomal RNA (253 nucleotides) under uncultured bacterium. RNAcentral's name for it is "partial 16S ribosomal RNA". It matches the Rfam family "Bacterial small subunit ribosomal RNA", at positions 524 to 776 of the family's 1533-position model. The record is from RNAcentral.
UACGGAGGGAGCUAGCGUUAUUCGGAAUUACUGGGCGUAAAGCGCACGUAGGCGGCUUUGUAAGUUAGAGGUGAAAGCCUGGGGCUCAACCCCAGAAUUGCCUUUUAGACUGCAUCGCUUGAAUCAUGGAGAGGUCAGUGGAAUUCCGAGUGUAGAGGUGAAAUUCGUAGAUAUUCGGAAGAACACCAGUGGCGAAGGCGGCUGACUGGACAUGUAUUGACGCUGAGGUGCGAAAGCGUGGGGAGCAAACAGG